Molecule: ribosomal RNA, 198 nt
Filed under: uncultured bacterium
Lineage: Bacteria
Description: partial 16S ribosomal RNA
Rfam family: Bacterial small subunit ribosomal RNA
Source: RNAcentral
ACGCUCGACACCUACUGGAGGCAGCAGUGGGGAAUAUUGCACAAUGGGGGAAACCCGUGAUGCAGCGACGCCGCGUGGAGGAAGAAGGUCUUCGGAUUGUAAACUCCUGUUGUUGGGGAAAAGAGGAUGGUACCCAACAAGGAAGUGACGGCUAACUACGUGCCUGCAGCCGCGGUAAUCUGAGCGGGCUGGCAAGGC